GGAGGGAUGGCUGAGCUGGUUGAAGGCGCACGACUCGAAAUCGUGUAUGGCGUUUGCGCGCCAUCCAGGGUUCGAAUCCCUGUCCCUCCGCCA
Molecule: transfer RNA, 93 nt
Filed under: Candidatus Saccharimonadota bacterium
Lineage: Bacteria; Candidatus Saccharimonadota
Description: tRNA-Ser
Rfam family: tRNA
About the family: Transfer RNA (tRNA) molecules are approximately 80 nucleotides in length. Their secondary structure includes four short double-helical elements and three loops (D, anti-codon, and T loops).
Source: RNAcentral